This 495-nucleotide ribosomal RNA is filed under the name Salmonella enterica subsp. enterica serovar Heidelberg. Its description in RNAcentral is "partial 23S ribosomal RNA". It matches the Rfam family "Bacterial large subunit ribosomal RNA", at positions 697 to 1190 of the family's 2925-position model. The record is from RNAcentral. RNAcentral also lists the same sequence under 7 other names. Lineage: Bacteria; Pseudomonadati; Pseudomonadota; Gammaproteobacteria; Enterobacterales; Enterobacteriaceae.
AAGUUGCAGGGUAUAGACCCGAAACCCGGUGAUCUAGCCAUGGGCAGGUUGAAGGUUGGGUAACACUAACUGGAGGACCGAACCGACUAAUGUUGAAAAAUUAGCGGAUGACCUGUGGCUGGGGGUGAAAGGCCAAUCAAACCGGGAGAUAGCUGGUUCUCCCCGAAAGCUAUUUAGGUAGCGCCUCGUGAAUUCAUCUCCGGGGGUAGAGCACUGUUUCGGCUAGGGGGCCAUCCCGGCUUACCAACCCGAUGCAAACUGCGAAUACCGGAGAAUGUUAUCACGGGAGACACACGGCGGGUGCUAACGUCCGUCGUGAAGAGGGAAACAACCCAGACCGCCAGCUAAGGUCCCAAAGUCAUGGUUAAGUGGGAAACGAUGUGGGAAGGCCCAGACAGCCAGGAUGUUGGCUUAGAAGCAGCCAUCAUUUAAAGAAAGCGUAAUAGCUCACUGGUCGAGUCGGCCUGCGCGGAAGAUGUAACGGGGCUAAACCAU